UUUUCUACUUUUACUAUGAAUAUAUAACUCUCAAAAAAUACUUGUUCUUGUUUGGCAUGUUUUAAACUUUUCCAUAAAUGACACAAUAUGGUAUAUCUCCUUCUGCAACCUGCUUGUUUCACUGAAUAUUGUUUUUGUGAAAUUUAUUCACAUUGAUAGAAAUAUUGUAUUUACUUUUGCUGCUGUUUACUCUUUUUAUGAACUUUAGCAGUCCCUGUGCUGGCCAGGAAUCUCGCCUCUCCAGAUCCAGCACACAGGCCUGCCUCCACUGCUGGCUCCCUACAUUAUUGCUGGAGGGUUUCUCUGGCUGCUGGAGCCUGCUCUGCUACCAGGCCAGAGGGCUGGGAUUUAAGAGCCUCCAGAGCAGCCCUCGUCCUUGCCUGGGGGAGAUGGUGGACACGUUCUGCAGCGGCCUUGCUCCUCAGCAGAGUAACUCUGAGGCACCUGCCCUGCACUGUCACCUACAGGUCCUCAGAGGUUAAGCUCCAUUUAAUUGCCCACAAUAGUCACUGGCUUGAUAAUCAUCUCAGACUGGCUUCUGGUUUAGCAAAUGCUAAACCAGAGCUUGAGCACAAAGCAUUUAUUAGAAUUAACACCCUCAAAAGGAAGGCAAAGAAACCAGGAUUGGGCAGAGGGAGAAGUAGAACUGCUAUGCAGGCCUGACAAAGCCCCAGCCAACCAACAGGGAGCUAGGAAUGAGUAGUGGCCUUCAGAGUGUCCCACACUGAUCCAAAACGUCUGCUUCUCUCAGUCCCUCGCUGAGGGCAUGACCUCGGGUGGGGAUGCUCUUGGAAGCUGACGCAGACCCUCUGCUAACCCCAACCCCUGCAGUUGGGUAGUGACACCUUCCCUAAAGGGGACUUUGGGCACCAUGUCCUUAUCUGCCACAAGAACACACUUUGGCUUCUUCAUCGGUCACACAUCUGAUCACCUCCCACAUAAACUACUUGUACUUGUAUCCUUGUCUCAGGGUCUGUUUUGGGGGGGCCUCAAACUAAGACAAUGAAUUUAUGGUGAUGCAUUUAUCCAUUCUUGUGUUAUGCGACACCCAAAUUGUUUCCAAUUCUUUGCUACUGCAAACUGUAUUGCAAUGGAUCUUCUUGCACAAGUCUCCUUAUGUACACGUUGUGGGAGUUGUUUGCUUGUUUCAAAGAGGAGGGAGGAGAGAGAGAAUUUAAGCAGGCUCCACUCUCAGUGCAGAGCCCGAUGAGGGGCUCCACCUCAGGACCCUGAGAUUAUGAUGUGAGCUGAAACCGAGUUGGAUGCUUAAAUGAAUGAGCCACCCAGGUACCCCAUUAUGGUAAAUAUCUAGAGGCAGAGGCCCUAUAAGGAAUGCAUGUCUUUGACUGUACUAGGCGUUGGACGGACAAAGGCCCUGUACUGAGGUCAAGAUUGAGGGUAUGGAUACACUGGGGACACAGCCUCACACUGAAAAGUUUUUGUGCCAGAUGGACUUUAUCACAGACAUACCCUCAGAAUCCUUCCUCUAGAACAGACUUUCUCAAACUUUAAUCUGCACGUAAAUCUUUUCAAGAUCUUGUUAACUUGCAGAGUCUCAUUUGGUAGGUAUGGGUUGGGACUUGAAAUUCUGCAUUUCUAAGCCAUCAGAUAUACUUCUGCUCCUUUAUGGAUCUCCUACUGAGUAGCAGACUCUAGAGAAUGAGUUUGAUUAUGAGGCCAUCAGAAUAUCAAAGUAGCCAUGAUUCUCCAUCACCAUUGCUAACAAAAUAGGGCAAAAAGAGAUGGCCUGAGGGUAAUGGCCUGUGGGCUAAACCAUUAGGUUACUAGAUGGGAUAUUAUGCUUUUAGGGGCCUAGUGACUCAGGACCAGUAGAAUUUUUGGGGUAGUGUCAAUUCCAGGUUACUUCUACUUUUGUCAUGGGGAGCAAGACAGACCAAGUGGACUUAUAGGAAUACAGGUCUGUCUUGUUAACGGAUUUUUCAACUCUUUCUUUGUUGUUCCAAACACAAUGUUUGGCUGUCAAUUUAAGGGUGGUAUAGGGCAGCCUGGGUGGCUCAGCGAUUUAGCAUCUGCCUUUGGCUCAGGUCAUAGUCCCGUGGUCCCAGGAUUGAGUCUCGCGUCAGGCUACCCACAGGGAGCCUGCUUCUCUCUCUGCCUGUGUCUCUGCCUCUGUGUCUCUCAUGAAUAAAAUCUUUAAAAAAAAAAAAAAAGGGUGGUGUAACAUUUGCCUCUGAAGAGUGCCCAAGUCAGGUAGAUCUGUACAUAAGUCCCUAAGGGUGGUGGUGGUGGGAUAGACCUGGUGGGCUGCUUUAAGGAUUCAUAGUCAUGGACCAGCCACAUGGGAAAGUCCUCUGCCCCAUAAGCAGAGAGGGACAUUUAAUAUUAGUUAAAGGACUUCUAUUUCUAUUUCUACUCAAGAUGGAGUAACAAGGAUUGAAUCUAUUGUGCAAAACUACUAAAAAACUGGACAAAAUAUUUGAAAUAAUAGCAACAAAGGAGACGAAGAAGUAAUGAAGUAGACACUACAAUCACCUAGCUCACUGCCUGAUGAAAGUUUUCAGGCUGCAGCAAAUAGAGGGGAACCCAGGCAGAGACCAGGAGAUUCUCCAAGUUGAGUAACAGAGAUGGGGUCCAGGGAAGCCAAAGCAACAGAGGUCACAUGACAAAGUAGCAGAGAGGAGAGAGAACAAUGAAGAUCUGCAAAGGGUGCCCUUGGGUACACAUUUGAGUACUGGCCAGCCCAUGCAUGUGAAGAAUCUUGCUGAGACAAGAGAAAGGGCCACUCAAAAGGAUUUGAGGGAACAGUACUCAGAGGUCAUGUAGAGCCCAAAGUAACUCCUGCUCCCAACAGCCAGAGCGGAAAACAUCACAAAUCAAGAGGCAUUGACGAGAGUACUAAGGAAAUUUUGCCUUGAGAGAAAAA
This 2884-nucleotide long non-coding RNA is filed under the name Canis lupus familiaris (dog). RNAcentral describes it as "lncRNA (ENSCAFG00845020991.1)". The record is from RNAcentral. Lineage: Eukaryota; Metazoa; Chordata; Mammalia; Carnivora; Canidae.